This 488-nucleotide ribosomal RNA is filed under the name uncultured bacterium. RNAcentral's name for it is "partial 16S ribosomal RNA". It matches the Rfam family "Bacterial small subunit ribosomal RNA", at positions 30 to 507 of the family's 1533-position model. The record is from RNAcentral.
AUUGAACGCUGGCGGCAGGCCUAACACAUGCAAGUCGAACGGUAGCACAGAGAGCUUGCUCUCGGGUGACGAGUGGCGGACGGGUGAGUAAUGUCUGGGAAACUGCCCGAUGGAGGGGGAUAACUACUGGAAACGGUAGCUAAUACCGCAUAAUGUCGCAAGACCAAAGAGGGGGACCUUCGGGCCUCUUGCCAUCGGAUGUGCCCAGAUGGGAUUAGCUUGUUGGUGAGGUAAUGGCUCACCAAGGCGACGAUCCCUAGCUGGUCUGAGAGGAUGACCAGCCACACUGGAACUGAGACACGGUCCAGACUCCUACGGGAGGCAGCAGUGGGGAAUAUUGGACAAUGGGCGCAAGCCUGAUGCAGCCAUGCCGCGUGUGUGAAGAAGGCCUUCGGGUUGUAAAGCACUUUCAGCGGGGAGGAAGGCGAUACGGUUAAUAACCGUGUUGAUUGACGUUACCCGCAGAAGAAGCACCGGCUAACUCCGUG